This 391-nucleotide ribosomal RNA is filed under the name uncultured bacterium. RNAcentral describes it as "bacterial SSU rRNA". It matches the Rfam family "Bacterial small subunit ribosomal RNA", at positions 505 to 898 of the family's 1533-position model. The record is from RNAcentral.
GUGUCAGCAGCCGCGGUAAUACGGAGGAUCCGAGCGUUAUCCGGAUUUAUUGGGUUUAAAGGGUGCGUAGGUGGUUUGAUAAGUCAGCGGUGAAAGUUUGCAGCUUAACUGUAAAAAUGCCGUUGAAACUGUCGGACUUGAGUGUAAAUGAGGUAGGCGGAAUGCGUGGUGUAGCGGUGAAAUGCAUAGAUAUCACGCAGAACUCCGAUUGCGAAGGCAGCUUACUAAGCUACAACUGACACUGAAGCACGAAAGCGUGGGGAUCAAACAGGAUUAGAUACCCUGGUAGUCCACGCAGUAAACGAUGAUUACUAGCUGUUUGCGAUACACAGUAAGCGGCACAGCGAAAGCGUUAAGUAAUCCACCUGGGGAGUACGCCGGCAACGGUGAA